AUGGAAAAUGCCUGCACAAGCCUCAACCAGGUGGCCCGCUCGGCACGGCUGCUCAACAUCGACGGCUUCAGCCUGACCGCAGGCAUGGGCGGCGACUACUGCCUCAAGUCCAUAUGGACUGUCGAUGGGUACGAGCUGGAAGUCCUUAACUAUCCGGGCACCACAUGGGUGGCUCUGAAACUCGUCUUCCUCAGCGAAGCCCGCACACAGUGGGGCGUGAGGGCGAGCAUGGCCUGUCAGCUGGUGGAUCUCAGCAGGGAGCUUGAGCCGUAUCAUGAGUACGGCGUGUCAGAAACCUUCCAUCACCCCCAAGACUUCGGGGCACUGGUCUUCAUGGACAGAAAUAAGAUACCAUCCGGUUAUAUCAAGGAUGAUAUGUUGACUCUGCGAUGCGCGAUCAUGGUACUCAGGGAGUUACCAGUGCCAACCAUCCCAGCUGAAGAAGUGGUCGCACCACCAUCCACCAACUUGCACCAGCACCUCGGCGAACUCCUGCAGAGCGAGAUGGGAGCCGAUGUCACUUUUCUUGCGUGCGACGAGUCGUUUGCUGCACACAGGUACAUACUUGCCGCAAGGUCUCCGGUUUUCAAGGCCCGGUUCUUCGGAGACAUGAAGGACAAGUGCUCAGCACGCGUGGAGAUCAAGGACAUGGAGGCGGCGGCAUUCAGCGCCAUGCUGCACUUCAUCUACACUGACACGGUGCCUGAUCUUGACCGACCGCUCGAGGAGGUGACGACGAUGGCUCAACAUUUGCUUGUGGCCGCUGACAUGUAUGGGCUUGAGAGGCUCAAGCUGAUUUGUGAAAUAAAGCUCUCUGGUGGCAUCACUGUCGACGCCGCAGCGACCACUCUUGCUUUGGCGGAGCAGCACAGUUGCUUGAAGCUCAAGGCCAAAUGUCUCGAGUUUAUCGUCAGCACGCCUGCUGUUCUUGAGGCGUGCUGGCGACAAAUGGGUAUAAGCACCUUGAAGAAAGCUGCCCUUUGGUCCUCACCGAGCUUCUCAAGUCUACCCAUAUAUUCCACAGGAUAG
RNAcentral lists this ribosomal RNA (1029 nucleotides) under Triticum aestivum (bread wheat). RNAcentral describes it as "partial small subunit ribosomal RNA". Lineage: Eukaryota; Viridiplantae; Streptophyta; Magnoliopsida; Poales; Poaceae. The record is from RNAcentral.